GGCCCAGUGCGGGGUUCCAUGGCCGGCCGGGGCUGCAGCCGGUCGGGGAACCCGGCUCGAGCCCAGGUUCCGGCGGUGCUGUCCGGAAGGGCGACGCGCUCGGCCGGCCUGCCGGCCUCCCCAGCCUGCUGCGCCGCUCGCCCGAUCGCGCCAGCAAAGCCCGGGCGAGCGCGCCCGGCCCGACGCCGAGACCCGGGCCCUGCGGGAAGGACCGGGGCUCGCCGAGGCCGGGCUCCGGGGCAGCGCCGGUUCUCCGCUCCGAGGCCAGGCCCGCCCCGGCGCCCUGACUCCGCGCAGCCCCUCUGGCGCGCAGGCGGUCGCCGCAGCCCCGCUCCCUGCGCGAGUGAACGGAGGCGCCGAGCUAGGGGCUGGCGUCCACCCCUCGCCUCCCCGGGGCUCCCCAGGGCGCCCUUCUAGGAGAGAGAGCCAACGAAGAGUGGUGGUGUAAAAUUCAAAGCGAAAACACAAUUUACAGUGUUACAGCUUCACGAACAUUACUUUAAAAUACAGGGUAAUUGUAGAGGAUGUGAGUAUUUACUUGUAGAACAGUACCGGGAUGAGGGGAGUUGCUCUCCGAUUGGACCUGCGCGUAAGGAGCGUGAACUCACCUUUUUCAUAGUCAGUGUUUGGUACAAUGCCCAGACCCUACCAGCUACUCAGGAGGUACUUCUAGAAAGAAUAAGGACUCCAGGCCAGGCCAGUGGAAGCACAGACAGCUGUUUGUCUAGAUGUGUGGACUGGGGUCACCUGUUCUGAAAUCCACUUGCGAAGUGUUCCGGGUUGCAGCCCUCCGCCUGCUCACCCUGGACAACCCACUCCUCUCCACGUUCUGCUUAUUGAAAGCCACUGCAUAUUGGUGAAUCCCUGUUAUACAUUCCUUCUUGUAACAGCAGGUUUGCAUUUCAUUGGAACCCAGAGAGAAAGAGAGCAAAAUCAUAGUCUUAAUCUUUCAGAUUAAACCAAAGGCAUUGAAUUUCAUUAAAGAAUUAGGUUAAUAACUAGCAAAGUGACUAAAUUAAAUAUGUUCAUGAUCUUUUUUUUUCUUUAUUGUGCAAAUGAUAGAUGUAAAUUUUCUCUACUUUUGUGGAUGAAUUUUACAGUGCCUGAUAACCCCAAGCUGAAAAAAAGAAGAAAGGAGGAGGAAUUCCAAAGGAGCUUGCUUUCACCAGAGGAAAUGCAUUCCGAAUCUGACUAACGUGGGUAUGGACCAAAUUUCUGUGAUAUUAGUCUGUGAAAACAGAAGUCUACUUCGAGAAAGAGAGAUGUUCAACUUGGCUCAAUUCAGAUCUUAUCUCUGUUGGUGCAACUUGCUCAUUCCCGUGAAACUUUGGCACACUUAGACGAGUCAAAAAUCUGCAUGAUUGAUCUGCUAACACAUCUGCACCAGCAACCUCAAACAUAAACGUGAAGGAUGUCAUGAGGAUGUGCUCUUAACUUCUUGGAAGAAAUGAGUUAGACAGAUGAGUGCAUAUAUGGAAAGCAUACAGGCAUUUGGCUCUGAUGUAAGGGAAUUGGUCAACCACUGCCUAGGGCAGUUUAAGCCAGUUCAAAAGUUCCUCCUCCUCUGUGUAUUUUCAUUCUACAGUAAAUAAAAUACUUUGUUUUAUAGUUUUGUUGAUCU
This is a long non-coding RNA of Heterocephalus glaber (naked mole-rat), 1621 nucleotides long. The record is from Ensembl. Lineage: Eukaryota; Metazoa; Chordata; Mammalia; Rodentia; Bathyergidae.